GGUUGCUGUAUUCUGGAAAAAAGGAUAAAAAGUUGGCUAUCUUUUGUACACUCACAGUUUUAAGAUUGCCUGUUUCUGAGACUAUAAACAUUUGGAUAUAUGUAGCUUUUUUCCUGUUAGGUGCUGUAAUCAUGCAUAUUGAUGUUGAAAGGACGCUGAAAAUCACAAUCUUUCAAGAAUAAGAAGAAAAUAAAAAUUGAUUCUUGAGCUCCCAAAUAGAGAGAGAGAGAGAUUGAGUUUUGUGGGUGUAGUUUGCUAUGCUGAUUAGAUUGAUUCUCAGUGUAAUUUUUUG
Molecule: unclassified non-coding RNA, 292 nt
Filed under: Hevea brasiliensis (rubber tree)
Lineage: Eukaryota; Viridiplantae; Streptophyta; Magnoliopsida; Malpighiales; Euphorbiaceae
Source: RNAcentral